GCAACAUGCAUGACAAUAAUCAAUGAAUAUCCAGUAUAAAAUGAUAUGCAAUACAAAGAUAUGGCUACACAUGUCUCAACGGCUAAAACAGCAUUUUCUGUCAAGACUUUAUUUAUGACUAUCUUUCACAGACAUAGAGAAAGUUUUACGCAGAGAACAGAAUUCCUCAGAGUGCAGCGUAAGGUCGUAAAGUUUAGCUGACAGUUAGAAUAACCCUUUCAAUGCUGGCUAAAUCUCCUAGGUAGUUAAGAUCUAUUCUUAUGUCAUUUUAAAUAAAAUAACAUUUUAAACCAGUUCAUUAGUCAUUUCCAGGAACUAUCCAAUAAGAGAAUCUACCAUAUUAUAUAAGCAGAUUUUAAUUUGUCUAAAAGAUAUCUUAUCUUAAUUUAGAGCAAAUCAAUACAUCUGGAUAAAAACAGCGGUAUGCUAACACGUGAUAUCACAUCAAUAUAUAAUUAUUCUUAAUUCCACCUGCAGAAUGGAAUGUUUAUAACUAUAUAUUCUUAGUUAACUAAGAUUUCUUAAUAUGGAAAUCUGACCGUGCUUUAUCCAGUCAUAUAUAAUGCUAUUAAUACAUUUUAAUUAAUUUAAUUAAUUAAAUGAAACCAGUAUAAUUACCAGUUGAGUAGAUAUUUCAUCCAAUUGGUAGUCUCAGGAACUUAUUUGGAUGUCUCUUUGCAUGGAGGUGUGUAGGUAAUAGUGAAAGGUGGUGUUGGUUAGGAAGUCAGUGAAAUUCUAAGUGUUAGAGUUUUAAGAGUAGAGUGUUAGUCUCAGAUGUUGUCCGAGUUGGAGUCCCCAAACUUCCAAUUCCUCUCUCCUCUUUUUCUUUCUUUGCCUCCUUGUAUAUCUCUAUCUUCCCUUUGUCUUAACUUUUAAAGGGCCAGACUCUCUGUUCGUCAUCAGUUGAUAACCCAAUAGAAGCACUAGAGGUGUGGUUAUCUUCCAGAUCGCAAUUUAGUUAUUUGGUCUAUAGAGGGCAGUCUUGUCCCACUAAACAUACCUAUCCAGGAAAGAGUUAACUUUUCUUGGUGGCUAUUUUGACGUCAUUUUGCGUUAUCUUUAUAGUGCCAUAACUUAAAAUUUCAAAGGGUUUCUUUAAGUUUUUUGUCCAGACUGUGUCUGCAAAUCUGAGUUUUGACCCGUAACUUACAAUGGGACCUUAUAGAUAUAGACAGUUAAAUUUUAUUAUUUAAUCUUCUGUCACAAUUGUCUGGGUUUAGAUUUGAUUAUAUUCCAUUAGCAUUAGACAGUCUGUCCAACCCCCUUUCUUCUUAUCACUUUUGUUUAUAAUAUGCAUUCCUUUAGCUCUGGGAAAGUGGUUAAUUUACAGAUAGAAAUCUUGUGUCUUUUUGUUAACUUGAAAAUAACAAAAUGGAGUCUGGUCUGUUCAGAGUGACUCAGAAUAUACACUUUUAAUUUCUAUCAUAGCACAAAAUGUCUGCCGAUAUAAAUACCCUGACAGUAUCAAACUGUCUGGAGAGUGCAUCUGCCUUGGUAUUCUUUGUCCCGGGCCUGUAUGUAAUUAUAAAAUUAAACUGGGAGAGGAAUAAUGACCAUCUAGCGUGUCGGGAGGACAAUCUCUUAGCAUCCCCAAUAUAAGCCAAAUUCUUAUGAUCGGUAAAAAUCAAAAGUGGCUCUUGGGAACCUUCCAAGAGAUGCCUCCAUUCCUUAAGAGCGAGAACAAUGGCCAGUAAUUCCCUAUUCCCGAUGUCAUAAUUUCUCUCUGCUGGAGUUAAUUUUCGAGAGAAAAAGCCACGGGGAUGUAACGGUGCAUCAGGACUCUCUCUUUGAGACAGAAUGGUUCCUACUCCUGUCUCUGACGCAUCUACUUCUAAAAUAAAAGGUUUUGGUCAGAUCAGGGUGUGUCAGGACAGGUGCUGAAGCAAAUAAAGAUUUUAAUCUUUCAAAUGCCUCCUUUGCUUCUUUGGACCAUAAAUUACAAUUUGCUCCUUUCUUGGUUAGGUUGGUGAUAGCAGCGAUUACUGAUGAGAAAUUCCUAAUGAACUUACGGUAAUAAUUUGCAAAACCUAUAAAGCGUUGUGUAGCUUUAAGGCCUUUGGGUAACGGCUAUUGCAAGACUGCUUCCAGUUUGUGUGGAUCCAUUUUGAAACCUGAAGGGGAUAUAACAUAGCCAAGAAACUGUAUCUCAGUCUGGUCAAACUGGCAUUUUUCCAGCUUACGGUAUAAGCCAUUUUUUAACAGGGUUUUUAGUAAGAUUCUCACAUGUUCGUGAUGAGUUUCUAGGUCUGGGGAAUAGAUGAGAAUAUCGUCUAGAUACACUAGUACGAAUAUGUGACGAUAUUCUCUAAGGACAUCGUUAAUUAAGUCCUGAAAUACCGCUGGGGCAUUGCAUAGGCCAAACGGCAUGACCAGGUAUUUAUAAUGUCCCAUUCUCGUAUUAAACGCGGUCAUCCACUCAUGCCCUUCCAUAAUUCUGACUAGGUUGUAUGCGCUCCUCAGAUUGAGUUUUGUGAAUACUCGGCACCCCUCAACCUAUCAAAUAGUUCAGAAAUAAGGGGAAUGGGAUAGGCGUUUUUAAUGGUAAUUUUAUUUAGACCCCUAUAAUCAAUACACGGUCGUAGGUCUCCUUUUUUAGAAACGAAGAACCCCCCAGCCCCAGCAGGUGAAGCGGAUCUUCUUAUGUGACCCUUUUUGAGAGCAUCCUUAAUGUAUUCUUCUAAACAAAGGGUUUCUUGAGGAGAAAGUGUAUAAACUCCUCCUUUAGGGGGCAUAGUGCCAGGUAACAAAUUAAUGGCACAGUCGUAGGGCCUAUGUGGAGGUAAUACUUCCGACUGAACCUUGUUAAAUACUUCUUUUAAGUCCAAAUACUGCGGUGGGAUUUCUGUGGUUAAGGGAGGCGCUAUAGGUACAUUGAUGGUACCGAUUCGUUUAGGCACCUGUUUUAUGCAAUAACCUCUGUAACUCUUUCCCCAACUCACAAUCUCUCCUUCAACCCUAGAUUGUAUUUUAUUUGUCUUCACUGAGUGCCUCGACCCCUCGAGGCACUUUGCACACAAAGUAUCAGAAGCCUGCCCGAUGGCUUCUGAUGCUCUGCUACACUGCCGGGCGCCAUUUAGGGCAACCUGUAUGUGAUCGCUCCCAGGGAGCGAUCACUCGGCGGCCCAGCAGACACAGGUAUUGCAGGAUGCCUCAACAUCGAGGAAUCACUGCAAUACCCUUAGAGCGUCUGGAAGCGGUCAUGAUCGCUUCAAGUGCUCCUGUUUGCGGACCGUUUUUUGUCGGACGUACCUUGUACAUCCGUGGUCCUUAAGGGGUUAAACAAAACUGCUAACAGAGUGAAAAGGUCUGAAGCAGGCACGGCCUAUCAAAUUACCAAACUAUCAAAGAAUGCAAAAACUGCUACCUCGAUGUUCUAUGCUUUGCAAUGCAUUCAAAGAUGAUGAAUUAAUGUUAAUCAAUUACAUUUAUCUUAACCUUAAAAUUGAUAUACUACAUAAAUGUAGAAUGAAUAAAUAGAAAUAGGUAUAAAGACCUACACGUACCAGGAGAUCCCUGAACCAAUAGAAAAUGAACAUAAAAUAAAAUAGUUGGAAGAAUUAACAAUAUCAAACACAUGAAUGAAAUACAAUUAUAAAAAUGAACACUAGAUGUCAGCCAAGUGUUAGGUGAUCUCCCAUAAGAGGGGGAUGUUGACUAAACAAUCACUAAUCUGCAAAUCUAAAGUGUUGAAAUAAAUCCAAAUUCUGACCUGGAUGUUCUAUGGCUGAAAUAUACAUCUAUGCAGUCUCAUUUAUCACUCAGUAGUCCAAUACUUUGUGAAUAGUGAUGUCGCGAACACGAAAUUUUCGGUUCGCAAACGCGAACUUCCCCAAAUGUUCGCGAACCGCCAUAGACUUCAAUGGGUAGGCGAAUUUUAAAACACACAGGGACUCUUUCUGGCCACAAUAGUGAUGGAAAAGUUGUUUCAAGGGGAUUAACACCUGGACUGUGGCAUGCCGGAAGGGGAUCCAUGGAAAAUUACACAGUUGAUGCAGAGUCUGGUCUUAAUCCAUAAAGGUCAUAAAUCACCUAACAUUCCUAAAUCACAAUGGAUAUGGAUUGACACCUGACAUAUUGACACCUUGACACAUGGAUUGACACCUGUCCUCAGAGACCCUGAUAAACACUGACACAGAGCAGAAUAGGGACUGUUCCCUCUACAUAGGGUCACUUGGCAGAUAUGGAUUGACACCUAUCCUAAGGAUCCCUGAUACACACUGACACAGAGCAGAAUAGGGAAUAUUCACUAAAUGCCAAACAUUGUUAUACAGGGGAAUAUUCAGUAAAUAAGGAUAAGGGGGGACCUACUGUCCUCCCGCCCCCACCCGUGAGCGGUGGGUGGGUGCCAUAAAAAUAAUGAGGGGGGGACCUACUGUAUGAUGUUGUAUCGAUCAGGUAGUUGUAAGGGUUACGCCCUCUUCACAGUGACAGACCAAACUCCCCAUUUAACGCACCGCAAACAACCGCAAACAGUCCAUUUGCACAACCGCAAACUCCCCAUUAGCACAAGGUUGGAUACCAAGGUAGCCAUGUCCCGUUCCUUGUCCUCACUGAUGUCAUUGAAGGUCUCUUCCUCCACCCAGCCACGUACAACACCAAGGGUCCCCGAAAGGUGACAACAAGCCCCCUGGGACGCCUGCUGUGUUUGGUCUUCCACCUCCUCAAAGCCACCUUCCUCCUCUGACUCCUCUUCUUCAGACUCCUCUCUCUGCAUUGCCUCUCUCUACGUUAUUCUAAGGUGUGUUAAGUAGUAUUAUUCUUAUCAGUUUAAUUCCUGUUAUGUGCCUUUUUUUUUUGGUUUGGUUUUUGAAACCACAGUGCAGCACCAGAGGCCCAAAAAAUUAGG
Molecule: non-coding RNA, 4846 nt
Organism: Pelobates cultripes (western spadefoot toad)
Lineage: Eukaryota; Metazoa; Chordata; Amphibia; Anura; Pelobatidae
Source: the annotation of a GenBank genome assembly